UUCCAGACUCCUACGGGAGGCAGCAGUGGGGAAUAUUGCACAAUGGGGGAAACCCUGAUGCAGCAACGCCGCGUGAGUGAAGAAGUAUUUCGGUAUGUAAAGCUCUAUCAGCAGGGAAGAAAAUGACGGUACCUGACUAAGAAGCCCCGGCUAACUACGUGCCAGCAGCCGCGGUAAUACGUAGGGGGCAAGCGUUAUCCGGAUUUACUGGGUGUAAAGGGAGCGUAGACGGCAUGGCAAGUCAGAUGUGAAAGCCCGGGGCUCAACCCCGGGACUGCAUUUGAAACUGUCAGGCUGGAGUGCAGGAGAGGUAAGUGGAAUUCCUAGUGUAGCGGUGAAAUGCGUAGAUAUUAGGAGGAACACCAGUGGCGAAGGCGGCUUACUGGACUGUAACUGACGUUGAGGCUCGAAAGCGUGGGGAGCAAACAGGAUUAGAUACCCUGGUACC
Molecule: ribosomal RNA, 448 nt
Filed under: uncultured bacterium
Lineage: Bacteria
Description: partial 16S ribosomal RNA
Rfam family: Bacterial small subunit ribosomal RNA
Source: RNAcentral